UACGAAGGGGGCUAGCGUUGUUCGGAAUUACUGGGCGUAAAGGGCGCGUAGGCGGCGCCGGAAGUCAGGCGUGAAAGCCCCGGGCUCAACCUGGGAGGUGCGCUUGGGACUCUGGUGCUGGAGUUCGGGAGAGGAGAGUGGAAUUCCCAGUGUAGAGGUGAAAUUCGUAGAUAUUGGGAAGAACACCGGUGGCGAAGGCGGCUCUCUGGACCGAGACUGACGCUGAGGCGCGAAAGCGUGGGGAGCAAACAGG
This 253-nucleotide ribosomal RNA is filed under the name uncultured bacterium. RNAcentral's name for it is "partial 16S ribosomal RNA". It matches the Rfam family "Bacterial small subunit ribosomal RNA", at positions 524 to 776 of the family's 1533-position model. The record is from RNAcentral.